This 744-nucleotide ribosomal RNA is filed under the name Coremiopassalora eucalypti. Its description in RNAcentral is "eukaryotic LSU rRNA". It matches the Rfam family "Eukaryotic large subunit ribosomal RNA", at positions 95 to 871 of the family's 3401-position model. Lineage: Eukaryota; Fungi; Ascomycota; Dothideomycetes; Mycosphaerellales; Mycosphaerellaceae. The record is from RNAcentral.
GAAGCGGCAACAGCUCAAAUUUGAAAUCUGGCGCAAGCCCGAGUUGUAAUUUGUAGAGGAUGCUUCUAGGUAGCGGUCGGUCUAAGUUCCUUGGAACAGGACGUCAUAGAGGGUGAGAAUCCCGUAUGUGAUUGACUUGCACCUUCUACGUAGCUCCUUCGACGAGUCGAGUUGUUUGGGAAUGCAGCUCUAAAUGGGAGGUAAAUUUCUUCUAAAGCUAAAUACCGGCCAGAGACCGAUAGCGCACAAGUAGAGUGAUCGAAAGAUGAAAAGCACUUUGGAAAGAGAGUUAAAAAGCACGUGAAAUUGUUGAAAGGGAAGCGCCUACAACCAGACUUUGCGGCAGUGUUCCGCCGGUCUUCUGACCGGUCUACUCUCUGUCGUGAGGCCAUCAUCGUCUGGGCCCGCCGGAUAAGACCUAAGGAAUGUAGCUACCUUCGGGUAGUGUUAUAGCCUUUGGUGAUGCGGCGAGGCUCGGGCGAGGUCCGCGCUUCGGCAAGGAUGAUGGCGUAAUGGUUGUCGGCGGCCCGUCUUGAAACACGGACCAAGGAGUCUAACAUCUAUGCGAGUGUUCGGGUGUCAAACCCCUACGCGUAAUGAAAGUGAACGGAGGUGGGAACUUUUUGUGCACCAUCGACCGAUCCUGAUGUCCUCGGAUGGAUUUGAGUAAGAGCAUAGCUGUUGGGACCCGAAAGAUGGUGAACUAUGCCUGAAUAGGGUGAAGCCAGAGGAAACUCUGGUGGA